This 67-nucleotide transfer RNA is filed under the name Margattea speciosa. RNAcentral's name for it is "tRNA-Glu". It matches the Rfam family "tRNA". From Rfam's summary of the family: Transfer RNA (tRNA) molecules are approximately 80 nucleotides in length. Their secondary structure includes four short double-helical elements and three loops (D, anti-codon, and T loops). Lineage: Eukaryota; Metazoa; Arthropoda; Insecta; Blattodea; Pseudophyllodromiidae. The record is from RNAcentral.
AUUUAUGUAGUUUAAUAAUAAAACAUUACACUUUCACUGUAAAAAUAAAUUUCCAUUUUCAUAAAUA